CCUACGGGCGGCAGCAGUGGGGAAUAUUGCACAAUGGGCGCAAGCCUGAUGCAGCCAUGCCGCGUGUGUGAAGAAGGCCUUCGGGUUGUAAAGCACUUUCAGCGGGGAGGAAGGCGGUGAGGUUAAUAACCUCAUCGAUUGACGUUACCCGCAGAAGAAGCACCGGCUAACUCCGUGCCAGCAGCCGCGGUAAUACAGAGGGUGCAAGCGUUAAUCGGAAUUAGUGGGCGUAAAGCGCACGCAGGCGGUCUGUCAAGUCGGAUGUGAAAUCCCGGGCUCAACCUGGGAACUGCAUUCGAAACUGGCAGGCUAGAAUCUUGUAGAGGGGGGUAGAAUUCCAGGUGUAGCGGUGAAAUGCGUAGAGAUCUGGAGGAAUACCGGUGGCGAAGGCGGCCCCCUGGACAAAGACUGACGCUCAGGUGCGAAAGCGUGGGGAGCAAACAGGAUUAGAUACCCGUGUAGUC
This 464-nucleotide ribosomal RNA is filed under the name uncultured Klebsiella sp. Its description in RNAcentral is "bacterial SSU rRNA". It matches the Rfam family "Bacterial small subunit ribosomal RNA", at positions 338 to 795 of the family's 1533-position model. The record is from RNAcentral. Lineage: Bacteria; Pseudomonadati; Pseudomonadota; Gammaproteobacteria; Enterobacterales; Enterobacteriaceae.